GGGCCUGUAGCGCAGUUGGUAGCGCGCCUCGUUCGCAUCGAGGAGGUCAGGGGUUCGAUUCCCCUCAGGUCCA
Microbacterium sp. Root180 is the source of this 73-nucleotide transfer RNA. It matches the Rfam family "tRNA". Rfam says of the family: Transfer RNA (tRNA) molecules are approximately 80 nucleotides in length. Their secondary structure includes four short double-helical elements and three loops (D, anti-codon, and T loops). The record is from Rfam. Lineage: Bacteria; Bacillati; Actinomycetota; Actinomycetes; Micrococcales; Microbacteriaceae.